CACGGAGGCCCCGAGCGUUGUUCGGAUUUACUGGGCGUAAAGCGUGCGUAGGCGGUUAGGUAAGUCAGAUGUGAAAGCCCGGGGCUCAACCCCGGAACUGCAUCCGAUACUGCCUGACUCGAGGGUUGGAGAGGAGACUGGAAUUCACGGUGUAGCAGUGAAAUGCGUGGAUAUCGUGAGGAAGACCAAUGGCGAAGGCAGGUCUCUGGACAACAUCUGACGCUGAUGCACGAAGGCCGGGGGAGCAAAAAGG
Molecule: ribosomal RNA, 253 nt
Filed under: uncultured bacterium
Lineage: Bacteria
Description: partial 16S ribosomal RNA
Rfam family: Bacterial small subunit ribosomal RNA
Source: RNAcentral